AACAAGCAGGAACAGCCAAGGCCAUGAGUACAUUUACAACAGCUAACAUUCCAAUGUCAGAACGACAUAGGAAGGGGCUGAAACCUGAACAUACAAUGCAUUUCUUUGUGUGUAACAUGAAGAGGUCCUGCCACCAUUAUAACCUAAAAAGGAAUCAAGAGAUGGGCGUUAUUGGGCGUGAACAAGCGUUAUUGGGCGUGAGGGAAGUAACUUUUACAUAUGGAAUGUACUCCCAUACUCUAUGUGUAUAAAAGCAGAGCCGAUGCUCAGGAAAGGCAGUUGAUCCAUCGACCGGCUCGGCUUUGCAACUCUGUAUUAAAGUCUAUAUUGAAUUCACAAAGUUCUUGCAAGAGUAUUAUAUUCUUAAGACAAUUUUCCACUACAUAUUUGGCGAGCUUGCCAGGAGAUCGAAGAGACCUCGGACAGUGUCGUUCUUGGCUGGUGACGGUUUCUCUGGACAAUCUCACAAACGGGUGGCCACCCAACUAUAAACAGGGUAGCUAAGGAUGAAUGCCCCAGGGAGAAUUGGACAUGUGGAAAAUGAAAGGGGUGUCACGCUUGUCGUCGGUUAAAGAGGACCAAAACGCAGCAGGUAUGUGAAUGCUCAUCUCGACGUUUUAAUGAAUACAAAAUGAACACCAAAAUAACAAACAGAAAUAACGAUCGACUGACAGUCUGCAAAGCAUAAGGCUCAACACAGAACAAUCUCCCACAAAUAACAAACACACCUAAUAUAUGGGACUCUCAAUCAAAGGCAGAUAGACAACACCUGCCUUCAACUGAGAGUCCCAACCCCAAUUAACCAAACAUAGAAACAGACAUACUAGACUAAACAUAGAAUACCUGAAAACCAAACAGUGCCCAAAAACCCCGGAAUACUUAAAUCAAAUGCCCCUUCAACAAACACACCACCCCGAACCACAUAAAACGAAUACCCUCUGCCACGUCCUGACCAAACUACAAUACCAAUUGACCUUAUACUGGCCAGGACGUGACAAGGGGGCAAUCCUACAAGAGAAGGGCGGACAUAAGGAUAAUUUAAUAACCUUACCAAAGACACUGUCUAGAUAUGCAGCAAAAUUGAUACAUGGCUUGAGCCAUGUAUAAAUAGGGGGAGUAUGGUAGAGCAGGCAAUAGAACAGGUUAGGAUAAUUACUUAAACAAGAACAUAUUACUUAAACAAAUUAUUUUUUUGUAGAAUAUCCAUUCCAACAUUUGGAAAUGGACUUAUUGAACUAUUCCGAAUUGAGGGGAAGAAGGGGUGUUUAACAAUAACAGAUAAGCAUAGCAAAUGGGUAGAAGCGUUCCCAACUUACUUGGUGGACAUGAUUAUGGUAAAAAAAAAAUGAGGUCAAGAUAUUAUCCCUAGUGUUGGUUUACUAUUAUCUAUCUCUUUAAAUGAUGGAUGACAUUUUAGAUAAUCAGGUAGAGCCUAUAGAAUACCAGAGUUAGAGAUACCGGAACAGGUAGACAUAGAAGUUAAAGAUAUACUAGCAGAGCACAUGAGAAGACUGUUUGUUAACCAAACCCGUAUGUCCAAGAUUUUGUGUCCAACAGGUGAAUUACAGGAGAAGGUGAUUCACUCAAUCCAACCAGGAGACUGGGUGUGGAUCCAGUCCCUGAGGAGAAAAGACAGGAAGCAGCCCCGUGGGGAAGGCCCAUACCAGGUUCUGUUAAACCACUGCCUUUGCCAUUAGAAAAGCUGAGAGAGUCACUUGGGUCCACGUUACCCACUGCAAGAAGGUAUGUACACAUAUGAGCACUGCUGAUCACACACAGAGUUAGGAGAAGAACCGAGUACCAACAGGGUCCGGGGGUCACCUCCUUAACGAAGAUUCCCUAUCCCGACCGUUCAUCACUGUGUGUGCUCCUAGAGGUGUGAGUAUGGGGUGGUACCAAGCAGAGAGACUAAGGGCAGGAGAGGGUUGGCGGUUUUUGGGAAGAGUAGAGACUCUGAGCUGCAUCAUAGUCUAAUCUUUCUGAUACAUUCAGAUCCACCAGAUUCCGGUACUAAUCAAACGAUACCGUUGUCAUCGAGAAGAAGUAAAAGAUAAACUAUAUAAUACACUGAUGAGUGACUUACAUAAUAAGGAGUCAAAGAAGAUCAAGAUGUAGGAUUUAAGGUAAACAUUAAACAACUUCCUAGGAAAGCAGACAACUGUACAGGGACUGGGUGGGUCAGAUUGAGGUACUCGGCCAACCCACCUAGGUUCACCUUAACUCCUGAUGAGUACCAGUGUUAUAGAUACAAGAAUGGCACCGAGAACUUGGAUGAUUUUAAUAGCUGGAAAGUAAUUGUUAAUGUGACUGACUUAGGUUUGAAAGAUGAAUAGAAAAUGCUUAACCUCACAGCACCUAUAACUGAUGUUGGGUGGGCUAGUACCAGCAAAGGACGCAUACGACAGAAAUUACCACAAAGGGUGGUUAGGAGCUUGCGCCCCGGGUUUAUUGGUCCAACCAGUUCAAGUUAGUCAUCAGAGGCCAGUUAUAGGAGGCUAAAGUAGACACAGGAGGAGUUUUGACCAGGAUGGGAGUAGCUUUGUCUAGAUGGAUGCUAUUGGCAUCCACAGGGAAGUUCCAGAUGAAUACAAAGCUAUGAAUCAAAUAUGUGAAGGCUUUAACACUACAUUAUUAUGGUAGUUGACAAUAAAUAAAAAUGUGGAUGGGAUUAAUGACAUCUUUUAUAAUCAACAGAGAUUCAUGAAUGAAACCGGGGAUGCAGUAAAGAGGUUCUCUGACCAAUUAUCCACCACCUCCCUCAUGACCUGGUAAAAUAGACUGACUCUCGAUAUGUUACUGGCAAAAGAGGAUGGUGUAGGUAGAUUGAUUAGGUUCAUUGCUGCACGUACAUUCCUGAUAACACAGCUCAUGUUUGGGAAAUGGAAAAGUGUUGUUAUGGGCUGCUUUCACCUGUAUGAUUGUGUUUGUGUUGUGUGGUUGUUGUUUGGUCCCGUGUGCGAGAGGUCUCAUUUCCAGGGUUCUGGAGAGAUUGAUAACGGAGCAGAUGGGCAACCGGAAUGAUGCCUUUGAUGGAAGUGACCCCAGAGGACACUGAAUCCAGCUCUGGGCAAUGGUCCUUGGUUUGCUGUUGAGGAAGUGAUUGAAUAAAGCUUAUCCAAAAUGUUCUUAUAUGUGUUGAAUGUAGUGGCAGGUGGAUGUGAAGGGUUUUAAGUUCUGGGACAAAGAGUCUGUCCCACACAUGUUAGGUGUAGCCCCUGCCAUAAGAAGGUCCUCUUUUUAUACGUUUUUUAAAUAAUAUGUUCUGAAUUUAUCCUGUGUACUAUUUGUCUUUCCUGAUGUGAGGGUUUGAAGUUCCUGGGUGACUGGUAGUGAACCUAGUACAAGUGAGGUGUAGCCGGAAGGACUUGAGGGUUUUUUAAACUAAUCAUUUAAUCAUUAAAUCGAAAAUUUACAAUUGUGUUGAGUGACACCCUAGGGGGGUGUCAAAGGGGGAAUCUCAAAAUUUCCCUGAAAUUUUAAGAACUUAUGUAUUCACACCUAUCAGGUGUGAAAAGGGGGAUUGUUAGGGUUUGACCAACUAUUUGUUAGCAUAACCUAUAUAAAAUAACAGAGCAGCUAUGCUAUAAUAUGAAGUAUAUAAACUAUAGAUAAUUGAGUACUGCUAUAUGUUAAGAGGAAGUGGCUCAUGUGAUGGUGGGUCAUGUGGAAAGAAUACUGAUGCUUUAAAACAGGGUUUUGCAAGAGCUUUUGCUGAACAACAGCAAUAACAGGAUAUGGGUGAAAUGUAUGUGCAUGGGGGUGUAAGGGUUUUAGAGAACUGUGCAUUGUGCAGUCACAAGAUGAGACAUCCGCCAGGAAGCUGGAGUGCGUCUAGAGGUUGGGACCAACCUGCACGCCAACGAUAGGCUGGAAUAAGUCUAAACCAUAUUCUAGCCUCUACUAUGACAGGCCCUCAGGGAGAGGGAACUAAGUCUGUCCAGUAUUUAAGGAAGAACUUGUAAUGUCAUACCAGAUCUCUGUCUGCCCUGCGUGGUGUUACAGUGAGCCCGUAUAUACGAACCACAUAUUUACCAUUCAAGUGUUUGCAUUAAUUAAAGUACAAAGAAAUCAGAAGUUACUAUGUGCUGACUAUUUUGUUCUGAUACCAGAUUCGAAUUGACGCGACCUGACAGGAUAAAAAAAAAAUACAAAAUAUCUAUAUAUUCAUAACGUAAAAUAAAG
Molecule: long non-coding RNA, 4182 nt
Filed under: Salmo salar (Atlantic salmon)
Lineage: Eukaryota; Metazoa; Chordata; Actinopteri; Salmoniformes; Salmonidae
Description: lncRNA (ENSSSAG00000105100.1)
Source: RNAcentral